This 2957-nucleotide long non-coding RNA is filed under the name Sus scrofa (pig). RNAcentral describes it as "lncRNA (ENSSSCG00025064759.1)". Lineage: Eukaryota; Metazoa; Chordata; Mammalia; Artiodactyla; Suidae. The record is from RNAcentral.
UGGUAGGUGGUUUCCCAAGCCUUGAAUUAAGUAGGCCAGUGUGACCUCAUAAUGGCAAGCUUUGUUCUCCCACCGCUGCUUCAAUCCUUUUUCUCCUCCCACCGUUUCCCGUGACACAAAGUACCAGUCCUUACUUUUGGAACCCGAGACUCUGGAUGUUGAGUGAGGAGUCCCUUAAAAUGAAUGGAGAGAGAGGAAGUGCCUGGACUGGUCGCCCGGAUGUACGAAGCCACGGCUCAGCCCGCCGGCAACUUGCGGUCCGUAGUCCAGUGCGGACACGAGGCGGUGAGCCGUGUCCAUCCCGGAUCCGAGGGCCUCCGCCAGAUCAAGUCCCUUAACCUCGUGCCGAGCCCGGGAAAGCGAAGAGGAAAUUUACGGACUCUAGGACCCCAAGGUACCUGCCAGGAGGGACUCCGCCAGAUCACGUCCCAUAACCUCGUGCCGAGCCCGGGAAAGCGAAGAGGAAAUUUACGGACUCUGGGACCCCAAGGCAGGUCUGAUUCUGGUGCACAUCAUGUCCAGUUUUGAAGAUGCUGACACAGAAGAGACAUUAACUUGUCUCCAGAUGACUGUUUACCAUCCAGGCCACCAGCAAAAUGGAAUAUUCCAAUCAAGAAGGUUUUUUAGCCGAGAGAAACUCCCUUCCAGCGAAGUGGUAAAAUUUGGCCGAAAUUCCAUCUGUCAGUAUACCUUUCAGGACAAACAUGCUUCUCGAGUUCAGUUUUCUCUGCACCUAUUUAAAAAGUUUGAUAGCUCAGUUCUCUCUUUUGAGAUUAAAAAUAUGAGUAAGAAGACCAGUCUGAUUGUGGACAACCAGGAAUUGGGCUACCUAAAUAAAAUGGACCUGCCCCCUAAGUGCAUGGUUAGGUUUGGUGACUAUCAGUUCCUGAUAGAGAAGGAAGAUGGAGAGUCAUUAGAAUUCUUUGAGAUUCAGUUUAUUUUAUCUACAAGAUCGCUCUUGCAAGAAAACAACUGGCUACCACAGAAGCCCAUACCUGAGUGUGGCAACUAUUUAUCCUGUUCCACCCAAGGCAAUUCUCCUAUAGAAAUGGGUGAAAAUGAAUGGUGACCACAGAGGGCUAAGAGAAUCAUGAAGGACCAACUCUGUAGACACUCUACAGACAAUCCACUUAUUAAAAGAGUUUCUGAGUGCGGUAUAUUACUGUCAUUUGCUGUGUUGCCAACUUUGAGAUCUGGUGUUAUGUGAAGUCUGUAAAUUGCGUUAGUCAUUGAUUUAGUCACCUGCUGCAUUGCUGGAUAUAUGAAGAAAUUACUAUAAUUGUGUAUCUGUGAGCAUUAAUGUAUGAAAAGCAACCUUCAUGAUGAAGGAAUAGUGUUCUCAAAAUAAGGUUAUUUUCUUUUUAUGCCCAAUUUUGGUCCCAUGUUUUAUACUGCUUCACUUUGAUUUAUAAGUUACCAUCUCUUGGUUUGGUCAUAUUAUUUCACAGCAGCCAUUUGUUCCUAGGUCAAGGUUACAAGCAUGUUAUUACAGGUGAGGUAACUUGUUGUUACUUGUCAUACCAGAGUACUGGAACAAAAAGCAUAAUGUGUUUUGGUGUCUGUGUGUCAUUGUGGUUUUAUAGUAAGACUUCUUUGUGCAAUAAUACCUUAAUUUUUGUUUUUUUCUCUAUAGAAUUAGUGUUUAUUCCCAAGAAUAGUUUUCCUUUUCUAUAUUCAGCAUCUAAAACCAAUACUUUAAACAUUGUUAAUAAACUAUGAUGUUAAAUUUAAAAUUUUCAUAUUUCUUACCAGUUUUUUAUUGUACUACAUAUUUUUAAAUUCCAUGAAUUCAAAUUUGAAUAGAUCCAUGUACACAAUAGAGUCAAAGUUUAAUUCUCUAACCAUUUUCUCUGAAACUCUUUCAGAGGUUGUGGCUGGAUUCAGAAACAUCCACUGAUGCCCUUGAGACACAUUCUUCAUUUGUUCUUCACUCCACAUGGUGGCAUAAGUUGUACAUGUUAUUGAUCAGCCAAAGAAAACCUUAUUUCUCAAUUCCAGUGCAAGGGGAGGCUCAGCUUGAGUCAGGUGCCCACCCUUCCCCCAGUCAGCUCUCCGCAAUGAAUGUUAAAUGAUGGCUGCUGAACUCGGUGACCCUGUGGAUAGGAUAAAGCAUUUUCUCAAAAGAAUGGCCACAGUGGAGUGGGACUGAGGGCAAACAAAACAUUGGUGUUUGAUACAAAGCACCACGGCUGAGUUGUGAACCUUUCAAUUCACCUCUUUCGGACUCAUCUGUGCCAUGAAAUUGAUUUGGGGUGGAGGUGGGGCUCUUUAAGUAGAUGCAUGUAUUAAUUGGUGCUAGUGUUAGUCAUAGUUUUUCUCUCUCUAGCUCUCUCACUUUUUUUUUUUUUUUUUUUUUUACGCCACACUUGUGGCCAGAGGAAGUUCCUGGGCCAGGGAUUAAUCCCUGCUGCACAGCAGCGACCGGAGCCAUUGCAGUGACAACACUGGAUCCUUAACCUGCUCUGCCACAAGAUAACUCCCUAGUCAGUCUCUUCUUGACCCUGCGACCUGGUGACAAGGGGGUGCUUUCCAAUGGUGGAAUCUCAUAUGCCAUAUGACCAUAUCCUAGGAGAUUGUGUCCCUACUAUCUACUGCACUGACUUAGCUAAAGAAGCAUUACUUUUAGGCACUAACAUGAGGGUAGUAUUUGUUUUAAUAUGCUUUGAAGAAAGAUUGGCUAUAAUCUUACUACCAGGAGAUAACAAUUAUUAAUAUUUUUUGUGUUAUGUAUUUGGUAGCUGCUUCCAUGUUAUCUCAUGGCUCUUUUUACUUUUUCAGUUCUGACACUUAUUUCCUUAUAAUGACUGUUAUCCAAGCAACCAUUUUCAAGUGUAGUUUCAACCUGCUUUACUAAUUCUGUUCUUUUUGUCUUCACAGCAGAUUUUAAAAAAUAAUCAUUUUAUAAGUCAGGAGUCAAAAUUAUUGCAUGUUUGUGGAAUAAAACUAGUAACAAAUAA